AAAAAUGGUAGUAACAGUAUAAAACAAAUAUUAAAAAAAAAAAUUAAAAAAAAAGUCUCACUCGUAAUAUUAUUAUAUUUGGCAAUUUUUUUUUCUUUCUAAUAAAAGAAACCUACUCAUUGUAGUUGGCAUAUAAAACUAUAUAUUUUUAAUAUAUAACCGUUUUUUUUUUAAUAACCAUCAUUUAUAACUGUGUUUUAUUUUUAUUUAUGAAAUAAAAAAAUAAAAAAAAAAAAUAAAAAAAAAAAAAAAAAAAGAAAAAAAAAAGAAAAAUAUGAGAAAACUGUCAAAAACUGAUGAUGAUGAUGAUGAUGAUGAUAAUUAUACAAACGAUACAUAUUUAAUAGAUCCAGAAAAUAAGCAUCAAACAAAUGGUCUACCAGUAUAUGGUCUACCAGUAUAUGGUCUACCAGUAAAUGGUCUACCAGUAAAUGGUCUACCAGUAAAUGGUCUACCAGUAAAUGGUCUACCAGUAAAUACUAAUGUAGUUUAUACUACUCCUAAUUUAAUAUAUGAACAAAAAGUUGUUUGUAAUAAUAAUGAACUAAAUAAUCAAAUAACCUCAUUGGAUCCUAAUUAUGUGAAUGCAGCAGAACCUAUCGUAUUAAAAAACGAACAAGUGUUACCACAAUUAUAUAUAAGACAACCACCAACAGUUAUAGUAACAAAUGAGCCAAGACCCCCUUUAGUUAUUAAUCCACCUCCAGCUAAUGUUAUUUUAAAAAAUAAAGCUCCUCAACCUAUAUAUGUAAAUAGUACAAGACCAAAUAUAAUUAUAAAAAACGACCCACCUGUUAUACAAAAUCCGAUUAAUAUGGAUACAACACCUAUUCAAGUGGAUACACCAAUAAUGCAUAAUACUGAUACUAUAUCUACUGCUACUAUUCCUAUAACUACAGUAAAUGACACUAUUCAUUACCCUACUUCAGUAGGAAUUAAACAAUAUAACAUAUCAAAUAACAUGUCAAAUAACAUGUCAAAUAACAUGUCAAAUAACAUGNNNNNNNNNNCAAAUAACAUGUCAAAUAACAUGUCAAAUAACAUGUCAAAUAACAUGCCAAAUAAAAUACCAAAUAAUAAUAUUUGCUAUUAUUAUCAAAAAGAUUUACAAGUUGAUAAAAAUUCACAACCAUUCAAUAUUAUACAAACAGAUGGUAAUAAUAAUAUAAAUAUGAAAGAAAUGUUUGUAAAUAAUAACCCCAAUGUUAUUAUGAUUGAUGGCCAAAAUCAAAAUACUAAUUUAUAUCAACAACAGACAUCAGUACCUUUAGUUUUGUCAAAUAAUAAUGUUUUACAUACACAAGGAUCUAUAAAUAAUGCAAUUGCUUCUUUUGAUACACAAGGAUAUAAUUAUAUACAACAAAAUAAUCCUUAUCCAUAUACACAAUAUAUUUCUAUCCCUGACAAUAAUCCACAUAUAUUGAAUCAACAAGUUAUAGCAGAACCAGCAGUGAUAAAUCCUGUAUAUAAUUUUAUGCAUUCAUCUCCAUCCCAAGUUAUACAUCAACAAUCAGCUCCGAACAUAUUACAAUAUCAACAACCAACUCCGAACAUAAUUUAUCAACAACCGGAAACUCAAGUUAUACAAAAAGGUUUAGAAACCCAAGUAGAUAAUAAACAUGGGAUACAACGAAACCUUUCUAACUCCUUUGAAUAUAGAGCAUGUAGAAAACCUUUCAAUUGUAAUAUAACACCAGAAUCGUAUAACUCAUAUUCUCCAUUAAAAAAUGUUAUGUAUUCAAAAGGCGAUAGGUCGUCACCUAGACCUAAAAAGGUUCAAAUAUUUGCACGUCCAAUGUAUAAUGGAAAUGCUAAAGGUUAUAACUUAAGUAUGUAAGGCAUCAUACAUAUGAUCGGAUCUUUACAUGUUUUCAUCUUUACAUGUUUUCAUCUUUACAUGUUUUUAUCGUUACAUGUUUUUAUCGUUACAUUUUUGCAUCAUACAUAUGAGCAAAUUUUUACACAUUCCCUUACAAUUUUUCUUAAAAAAAAAAAAAAAAAAAAAAAAAAUAUUUUUUUGUUUUUUUAAUUUUUAUUUGUUCUAGCUUGUUUUGUUCACUCAUUUGUUAUUAUAUUUUGUCCCAUUUUAUAUUGUUUUACUUUUAUUAUGUCCCCACUUUGUUUUGUAGUAUUUUUAUUUUACGCGACUUUAGUUUAUCACAUUAUACAUUACUUAUUACUAUUAAUGUUAAUAUUUAUCAAUAUAUACUUUUAUUUUUUUUAUUUUAUUUUUUUUUUUUUUUUGUGGAGAGGAGGGAGAAGUGGGGGUUUCUUUAAUGUCUUUUAACUUCGAUAAUAUAUAUGUCAAAAAAAAUCAGCAGACAAUAAAAAAUUUAUUAAAUUCUUUUUAACA
Molecule: long non-coding RNA, 2353 nt
Organism: Piliocolobus tephrosceles (Ugandan red Colobus)
Lineage: Eukaryota; Metazoa; Chordata; Mammalia; Primates; Cercopithecidae
Source: Ensembl